RNAcentral lists this long non-coding RNA (1258 nucleotides) under Olea europaea subsp. europaea. The record is from RNAcentral. Lineage: Eukaryota; Viridiplantae; Streptophyta; Magnoliopsida; Lamiales; Oleaceae.
AUUGUUCUUCAGCACAUAGCCUCACGCAUAUAUUUCCCUUUCUGACUUAAGCAUCGGAGGGGCGACGAGAACACACCUCGUUGCCUUUGUUUCAGGUACCGGAAGAUCACGUUCGUGCUCCUCAUCAGUCAUCAAGCACAGAAAAUCUAUAAAUACGAUUUUUGGUAGCAUCAAUGUGUAAUAAUAUUUUAUUAAAUAAUGUGUUUUUAAAAUUAUGUCAAAAUAUUGUUUAAAAAUGUAUUUUUUUUUUCAAAAAAUGAGGCUCAAACAAUGGCUUAUUUUGUUUUCCAUUUUUAAGAAAUUAUUAUUUUUUUUCCUAAUCUUUCAUAUUUCAAGCGAAGCGGUACUCCGACAGAAGCAGCUGUUGAGGGUAAAAGAGGAGUAGAUGGAUUGAUUUCAUUGGCGGUUAAAAAAUUAAUUUUUUUAAGGACGAAUCAAUGUUUGACACAUCUACAUCUGUCAAUGUAGCAAAACUCUUUUAAGCGAUGGUAUGGUUAAAAGUGAAAAUGUUUUAAAAUGAUCCUUUUUAAAAAUAUAAAUAUUAAGACAUCCACAUCCUGUUUUGAGCCAUGAUAAACAAUCGUUGAAAAAAGUCAAGAACGAUGAACAAUAAUUUGUUGAGGGACUUCCUCGACUACACCUUCCUCAACUUUGUUGACUAGACGACAACCCGGUUCAACAAUGUAGUUAGACUAAAAAGGUUUUCUAUUUCGUAGUAAUGACUUAUUUAUCUAUCUAUCAACAAUCUUUGGUAGAAGAGAAGGUUCGUUUUACUCGAGACUGAAAUUGGAUUUCCUAGUUUGAUAUUGCAUGAAUAAGAUUGAUCUCUCGUGUAAAUUCUUGCAUCUUUUACCGUCUUUAACAAUGAUUUAAAAAAUACAAGAAAAACAUGAUUUCUGUAUAGAAAAAGAAUGAAUACGUAAAAAAUUUCAACUUUUCAUUAUUUUUUACUUCUUUUUAUUUUUGUUCAGUACCCUUAUUUAAAUUAUUCACAUUGGUAAGGUAUUCGAAGAAAAGGGGCUCCUGGAAGCAUAUUAAAAUGAGUAAUAUUAUGUUAUGAUCCAUGACAUAAUCCUCAUUUAAUAUAAUCGAUGGGUUUAUGGCACAAGAAUUUGAGGAAUUUGAUACGUACAGCGUGGAUCAUAUGGAUGGGGCGGAAAAAGUGUGGUACAUGGGGGCAACGGUAGAAUGGUAGAUGUCCCCGUGGAAUUAAUGCCCGUUCGGUAGUGUUUAUGAGCUAUCUCGUAUAAAAUGUGUA